RNA transcript from Hippopotamus amphibius kiboko, 1835 nucleotides. It is a transcript of the gene named OCIA domain containing 1, with no coding region annotated. The record is from RefSeq and is a predicted model, not a curated record. The transcript has 8 exons. Lineage: Eukaryota; Metazoa; Chordata; Mammalia; Artiodactyla; Hippopotamidae.
CAACUCCGCUGCGGUCCUGCGCAUCUCCUGCCCUCCCCUUCCCCCCCGCCCGACCCCUUCGGGGUCCCUCCGGGCCUUCUGCCCCUGGUCGCCCGAGCUCGCCGCGCUGUCACCCGCCGCUGUCGUCGGGAGGAAAGAUGAAUGGGAGGGCUGAUUUUCGAGAACCGAAUGCAGAAGUUCCAAGACCAAUUCCCCACAUAGGGGCUGAUUACAUUCCAACAGAGGAAGAAAGAAGAGUCUUUGCAGAAUGCAAUGAUGAAAGCUUCUGGUUCAGAUCUGUACCUUUGGCUGCAACAAGUAUGUUGAUUACUCAAGGAUUGAUUAGUAAAGGAAUCCUUUCAAGUCAUCCCAAAUAUGGUUCCAUCCCUAAACUUAUAUUUGCUUGCAUCAUGGGAUACUUUGCCGGAAAGCUUUCCUAUGUGAAAACUUGCCAAGAGAAGUUCAAAAAUCUUGAGAAUUCCCCUCUUGGAGAAGCUUUACGAUCAGGACAGGCACGACGCUCUUCACCAACUGGGCACUAUUCUCAGAAGUCAAAAUAUGACUCAAAUGUGAGUGGUCAUUCAUCUUUUGUGACAUCCCCAGCAGCAGACAAUGCAGAAAAAGAGAUGCUUCCUCAUUAUGAGCCAAUUCCAUUCAGUGCUUCUAUGAGUGAAUCUACUCCCACUGGUAUUACUGAUCAUAUUGCCCAAGGUAGAAACUUCUCUUGAAAUGAAUUUCAGCAUUUUAUGGUCCAACGUAUGUAUAAACUUUAUUUGAUGACCUUUUUUUGCUGGAUAUCACCUGUAUGUUCCACCAUCAGCCUAAACUCAGCAUGUUUGUUUGCUCUUUUGUUCAUUUGAAUUCAUUCUUCAUUUGUUCAACGUUUUUUGAGGUCCAUUAGGUAUCAGCCACUCUGCUAGAUAUGGAAAUAAAGAUGAAUAAGACCUGGUUCUUAGCCCUGAGAAACUCUCUUGCCUGGUAGAAGAUACAGAAGUAUAAGGAUAAAUCAUUAAUAUGUUCCGUUAAUUGAAAAUACUAACCAUGUUUAGUGAAAUAGCAAAGAAGAAAUGAUAGAUCGUGCCUCAGAGAGGCUUUAAAAAGGUUACAUUUGUUAGUGUGGUCUUAAAGGCAACCUUAGCUUCUUGGUAUUGUGAGAAAAAUAAUAAUUACCUGCUUUACAGAACUGUUGUCAAGUGAGAAAAUCCAUGUGAAAGUGCUUUGUGAAGUUUGUGUAAAUACUAGUUUUGAAGAUCACAUAAUUCAAAGUAAACAAAUAUGGAGAUACUUGGGAUGAGUGAAAAAUUGCAUCAUUGGACCUACUGAAGAAGUUUCAAUAUCCAGCUUCAUCUAGGUGGUCAUGAACAUCUGCAUGCUUUGAUCUCAGCAGCAGUCUUCAUAAACACAUUUAAAACUAGAACCUGGGUUUUUGUGGUUUGGCUUAUGAAGAUGAUGUUUUAAAAGCUUACAUUUUAAUGUUAAUAUUGUGUGAAUCUAUUCAUUUUGGGGAACUCUUUGAAUGAUGGUAAUAUACCAUGAUUAUACACAGUUUGUGAAAUUGUUUUAAGUUACAGGGCAAGGAUACUCAGUUAUAAAACUAUGAAGAGAGUGUAAUGCUCUAGAAUCACUGUAUCUGAAAAUAAAUAACUUGCAUGUUGAGUUGGGGGGGAGCAAACAUAAUUUUAAGCAUUAAACUUUACAUCAAAAAUUAUUAAAAAAGCUUUUUGCCAGUGUUUGCUGUAUUCUCUUAAUGUUUAUGGUAAAUAAAAUAUAAAGGAACAUGCAUCUCCAUUGAUUUUAUGGUUUUAUUGUUUGCAGUCUAAGUACAAUUUUAAGUAAGUGGUGUUUUGUAGGGAAAG